GACGAACGCUGGCGGCGUGCCUAAUACAUGCAAGUCGAACGCUUCUUUUUCACCGAACUUCGGUUCAUCGAAAAAGAGGAGUGGCGAACGGGUGAGUAACACGUGGGUAACCUGCCCAUCAGAAGGGGAUAACACUUGGAAACAGGUGCUAAUACCGUAUAAUGCUUUUUCUCGCAUGAGAGCAAGCUGAAAGGCGCUUUUGCGUCACUGAUGGAUGGACCCGCGGUGCAUUAGCUAGUUGGUGAGGUAACGGCUCACCAAGGCCACGAUGCAUAGCCGACCUGAGAGGGUGAUCGGCCACACUGGGACUGAGACACGGCCCAGACUCCUACGGGAGGCAGCAGUAGGGAAUCUUCGGCAAUGGACGAAAGUCUGACCGAGCAACGCCGCGUGAGUGAAGAAGGUUUUCGGAUCGUAAAACUCUGUUGUUAGAGAAGAACAAGGAUGAGAGUAAAAUGUUCAUCCCUUGAC
Molecule: ribosomal RNA, 471 nt
Filed under: Enterococcus sp. oral taxon A43
Lineage: Bacteria; Bacillati; Bacillota; Bacilli; Lactobacillales; Enterococcaceae
Description: bacterial SSU rRNA
Rfam family: Bacterial small subunit ribosomal RNA
Source: RNAcentral